RNAcentral lists this ribosomal RNA (2758 nucleotides) under Klebsiella pneumoniae. RNAcentral describes it as "bacterial LSU rRNA". It matches the Rfam family "Bacterial large subunit ribosomal RNA". Lineage: Bacteria; Pseudomonadati; Pseudomonadota; Gammaproteobacteria; Enterobacterales; Enterobacteriaceae. The record is from RNAcentral.
CACUAUCGUUAACUGAAUACAUAGGUUAACGAGGCGAACCGGGGGAACUGAAACAUCUAAGUACCCCGAGGAAAAGAAAUCAACCGAGAUUCCCCCAGUAGCGGCGAGCGAACGGGGAGCAGCCCAGAGUCUGAAUCAGCUUGUGUGUUAGUGGAACGGUCUGGAAAGUCCGACGGUACAGGGUGAUAGUCCCGUACACCAAAAUGCACAGGCUGUGAACUCGAAGAGUAGGGCGGGACACGUGGUAUCCUGUCUGAAUAUGGGGGGACCAUCCUCCAAGGCUAAAUACUCCUGACUGACCGAUAGUGAACCAGUACCGUGAGGGAAAGGCGAAAAGAACCCCGGCGAGGGGAGUGAAAAAGAACCUGAAACCGUGUACGUACAAGCAGUGGGAGCACCUUCGGGUGUGACUGCGUACCUUUUGUAUAAUGGGUCAGCGACUUAUAUUCUGUAGCAAGGUUAACCGUAUAGGGGAGCCGCAGGGAAACCGAGUCUUAACUGGGCGUUAAGUUGCAGGGUAUAGACCCGAAACCCGGUGAUCUAGCCAUGGGCAGGUUGAAGGUUGGGUAACACUAACUGGAGGACCGAACCGACUAAUGUUGAAAAAUUAGCGGAUGACUUGUGGCUGGGGGUGAAAGGCCAAUCAAACCGGGAGAUAGCUGGUUCUCCCCGAAAGCUAUUUAGGUAGCGCCUCGUGAAUUCAUCUUCGGGGGUAGAGCACUGUUUCGGCUAGGGGGUCAUCCCGACUUACCAACCCGAUGCAAACUACGAAUACCGAAGAAUGUUAUCACGGGAGACACACGGCGGGUGCUAACGUCCGUCGUGAAGAGGGAAACAACCCAGACCGCCAGCUAAGGUCCCAAAGUCAUGGUUAAGUGGGAAACGAUGUGGGAAGGCACAGACAGCCAGGAUGUUGGCUUAGAAGCAGCCAUCAUUUAAAGAAAGCGUAAUAGCUCACUGGUCGAGUCGGCCUGCGCGGAAGAUGUAACGGGGCUAAACCAUGCACCGAAGCUGCGGCAGCGACACUAUGUGUUGUUGGGUAGGGGAGCGUUCUGUAAGCCUGCGAAGGUGUGCUGUGAGGCAUGCUGGAGGUAUCAGAAGUGCGAAUGCUGACAUAAGUAACGAUAAAGCGGGUGAAAAGCCCGCUCGCCGGAAGACCAAGGGUUCCUGUCCAACGUUAAUCGGGGCAGGGUGAGUCGACCCCUAAGGCGAGGCCGAAAGGCGUAGUCGAUGGGAAACAGGUUAAUAUUCCUGUACUUGGUGUUACUGCGAAGGGGGGACGGAGAAGGCUAUGUUAGCCGGGCGACGGUUGUCCCGGUUUAAGCAUGUAGGCUGGUUGUCCAGGCAAAUCCGGAUAAUCAAGGCUGAGGUGUGAUGACGAGGCACUACGGUGCUGAAGUAACAAAUGCCCUGCUUCCAGGAAAAGCCUCUAAGCAUCAGGUAACAUUAAAUCGUACCCCAAACCGACACAGGUGGUCAGGUAGAGAAUACCAAGGCGCUUGAGAGAACUCGGGUGAAGGAACUAGGCAAAAUGGUGCCGUAACUUCGGGAGAAGGCACGCUGGUGUGUAGGUGAAGUCCCUGCGGAUGGAGCUGAGACCAGUCGAAGAUACCAGCUGGCUGCAACUGUUUAUUAAAAACACAGCACUGUGCAAACACGAAAGUGGACGUAUACGGUGUGACGCCUGCCCGGUGCCGGAAGGUUAAUUGAUGGGGUUAUCCGUAAGGAGAAGCUCUUGAUCGAAGCCCCGGUAAACGGCGGCCGUAACUAUAACGGUCCUAAGGUAGCGAAAUUCCUUGUCGGGUAAGUUCCGACCUGCACGAAUGGCGUAAUGAUGGCCAGGCUGUCUCCACCCGAGACUCAGUGAAAUUGAACUCGCUGUGAAGAUGCAGUGUACCCGCGGCAAGACGGAAAGACCCCGUGAACCUUUACUAUAGCUUGACACUGAACAUUGAGCCUUGAUGUGUAGGAUAGGUGGGAGGCUUUGAAGCGUGGACGCCAGUCUGCGUGGAGCCAACCUUGAAAUACCACCCUUUAAUGUUUGAUGUUCUAACGUUGGCCCCUGACCGGGGUUGCGGACAGUGUCUGGUGGGUAGUUUGACUGGGGCGGUCUCCUCCCAAAGCGUAACGGAGGAGCACGAAGGUUAGCUAAUCCUGGUCGGACAUCAGGAGGUUAGUGCAAUGGCAUAAGCUAGCUUGACUGCGAGCGUGACGGCGCGAGCAGGUGCGAAAGCAGGUCAUAGUGAUCCGGUGGUUCUGAAUGGAAGGGCCAUCGCUCAACGGAUAAAAGGUACUCCGGGGAUAACAGGCUGAUACCGCCCAAGAGUUCAUAUCGACGGCGGUGUUUGGCACCUCGAUGUCGGCUCAUCACAUCCUGGGGCUGAAGUAGGUCCCAAGGGUAUGGCUGUUCGCCAUUUAAAGUGGUACGCGAGCUGGGUUUAGAACGUCGUGAGACAGUUCGGUCCCUAUCUGCCGUGGGCGCUGGAGAAUUGAGGGGGGCUGCUCCUAGUACGAGAGGACCGGAGUGGACGCAUCACUGGUGUUCGGGUUGUCAUGCCAAUGGCACUGCCCGGUAGCUAAAUGCGGAAGAGAUAAGUGCUGAAAGCAUCUAAGCACGAAACUUGCCCCGAGAUGAGUUCUCCCUGAGACUUUAAGUCUCCUGAAGGAACGUUGAAGACGACGACGUUGAUAGGCCGGGUGUGUAAGCGCAGCGAUGCGUUGAGCUAACCGGUACUAAUGAACCGUGAGGCUUAACCUU